RNAcentral lists this ribosomal RNA (700 nucleotides) under uncultured bacterium. RNAcentral describes it as "bacterial SSU rRNA". It matches the Rfam family "Bacterial small subunit ribosomal RNA", at positions 143 to 845 of the family's 1533-position model. The record is from RNAcentral.
AUAACACUGAGAAAUUGGUACUAAUACCCCAUAAUAUCUCAUGCGGCAUCGCAUGGGGUUGAAAACUCCGGUGGUUGAUGAUGGGCAUGCGUUGUAUUAGCUGGUUGGUGAGGUAACGGCUCACCAAGGCGACGAUACAUAGGGGGACUGAGAGGUUAACCCCCCACAUUGGUACUGAGACACGGACCAAACUCCUACGGGAGGCAGCAGUGAGGAAUAUUGGUCAAUGGACGCAAGUCUGAACCAGCCAUGCCGCGUGCAGGAUGACGGCUCUAUGAGUUGUAAACUGCUUUUGUACGAGGGUAAACCCCGAUACGUGUAUCGGGUUGAAAGUAUCGUACGAAUAAGGAUCGGCUAACUCCGUGCCAGCAGCCGCGGUAAUACGGAGGAUCCGAGCGUUAUCCGGAUUUAUUGGGUUUAAAGGGUGCGUAGGCGGUUUGAUAAGUUAGAGGUGAAAUGUCGGGGCUCAACCCCGAAACUGCCUCUAAUACUGUUGGACUAGAGAAUAGUUGCGGUAGGCGGAAUGUAUGGUGUAGCGGUGAAAUGCUUAGAGAUCAUACAGAACACCGAUUGCGAAGGCAGCUUACCAAACUAUAUCUGACGUUGAGGCACGAAAGCGUGGGUAGCAAACAGGAUUAGAUACCCUGGUAGUCCACGCAGUAAACGAUGAUAACUCGUUGUCGGCGAUACACAGUCGGUG